Molecule: ribosomal RNA, 274 nt
Filed under: uncultured Porphyrobacter sp.
Lineage: Bacteria; Pseudomonadati; Pseudomonadota; Alphaproteobacteria; Sphingomonadales; Erythrobacteraceae
Description: partial 16S ribosomal RNA
Rfam family: Bacterial small subunit ribosomal RNA
Source: RNAcentral
UCCUUAGUUGCCAUCAUUAAGUUGGGCACUUUAAGGAAAACUGCCGGUGGAUAAGCCGGAGGAAGGUGGGGGAUGACGUCAAGUCCUCAUGGCCUUACAGGCUGGGCUACACACGUGCUACAAUGGCAUCUACAGUGGGCAGCUAUUCCGCAAGGAUGCGCUAAUCUCCAAAAGAUGUCUCAGUUCGGAUUGUCCUCUGCAACUCGAGGGCAUGAAGGCGGAAUCGCUAGUAAUCGCGGAUCAGCAUGCCGCGGUGAAUACGUUCCCAGGCCUU